This 955-nucleotide ribosomal RNA is filed under the name uncultured eukaryote. Its description in RNAcentral is "bacterial SSU rRNA". It matches the Rfam family "Eukaryotic small subunit ribosomal RNA", at positions 122 to 1119 of the family's 1831-position model. The record is from RNAcentral.
UGAUGAUGGUCUACAUGGAUAACCGUAGUAAUUCUAGAGCUAAUACAUGCUGUAAGCCUGACUUUAGGGAAAGGUUGUAUUUAUUAGAUCCCAAACCAAUAGUUUCGACUAUUGUGACGAUUCAUAAUAACUGGUCGGAUCGGGUUUUACUCGAUGGAUCAUUCAAGUUUCCGCCCUAUCAGCUUUCGAUGGUAGUGUAUUGGACUACCAUGGCGAUUACGGGUAACGGGGAAUUAGGGUUCGAUUCCGGAGAGGGAGCCUGAGAAACGGCUACCACUUCUAAGGAAGGCAGCAGGCGCGUAAAUUACCCAAUCCUGAUUCAGGGAGGUAGUGACAAGAAAUAUUAACAGAGGGGCUUUGCCUUAUCUGAUUAAAAUGAGGACAAUCUAAUAGACCUUACCGAGGAACAAUUGGAGGGCAAGUCUGGUGCCAGCAGCCGCGGUAAUUCCAGCUCCAAUAGCGUAUAUUAAAGUUGUUGCAGUUAAAAAGCUCGUAGUUGAACUUCUGGUCAGGAGUGACUUUGGCUCCGGUCGAAGCAGUCCUGGCCAUCCGCCAGAAAACCAGAGUGGGCCUUUACUGGUCGCCCUGGGGAUCUGGCACUUUACUUUGAAAAAAUUAGAGUGUUCAAGGCAGGCUAUCGCCCUGAAUAUACAAGCAUGGAAUAAUGGAAUAGGUCUGGGUCUAUUUUGUUGGUUUAUAGAACCAGGAAUGAUUAAUAGGGACAGUUGGGGGCAUUAGUAUUUAAUUGUCAGAGGUGAAAUUCUUGGAUUUAUUAAAGACUGACUUAUGCGAAAGCAUUUGCCAAGAAUGUUUUCAUUAAUCAAGAACGAAAGUUAGGGGAUCAAAGACGAUCAGAUACCGUCCUAGUCUUAACUAUAAACUAUGCCGACUAGGGAUUGGCAGGUAGUAGCUCUGUCAGCACCUCGAGAGAAAUCAAAGUCUUUGGGUUCUGGGG